Molecule: ribosomal RNA, 439 nt
Filed under: uncultured bacterium
Lineage: Bacteria
Description: partial 16S ribosomal RNA
Rfam family: Bacterial small subunit ribosomal RNA
Source: RNAcentral
CCUACGGGAGGCAGCAGUAGGGAAUAUUGCACAAUGGGGGAAACCCUGACGCAGCGACGCCGCGUGAGUGAAGAAGUAUCUCGGUAUGUAAAGCUCUAUCAGCAGGGAAGAAAAUGACGGUACCUGACUAAGAAGCCCCGGCUAACUACGUGCCAGCAGCCGCGGUAAUACGUAGGGGGCAAGCGUUAUCCGGAUUUACUGGGUGUAAAGGGAGCGUAGACGGCGCGGCAAGUCCGGUGUGAAAGUCCAUGGCUUAACCAUGGUACUGCUCUGGAAACUGUGGAGCUUGAGUGCGGGAGGGGCAGGCGGAAUUCCUAGUGUAGCGGUGAAAUGCGUAGAUAUUAGGAGGAACACCAGUGGCGAAGGCGACUUUCUGGACGAUAACUGACGUUGAGGCACGAAAGUGUGGGAGCAAACAGGAUUAGAUACCCGAGUAGUC